RNAcentral lists this ribosomal RNA (292 nucleotides) under uncultured Acidobacteriota bacterium. Its description in RNAcentral is "uncultured Acidobacteria bacterium partial 16S ribosomal RNA". Lineage: Bacteria; Pseudomonadati; Acidobacteriota. The record is from RNAcentral.
GGACUACCCGGGUAUCUAAUCCCGUUCGCUCCCCUGGCUUUCGCGCAUCAGCGUCAGUGUCGGCCCAGCAACCCGCCUUCGCCGCAGGUGUUCCUCUCGAUAUCUACGCAUUUCACCGCUACACCGAGAAUUCCAGUUGCCCCUUCCGCACUCUAGCACAACAGUAUCACUUGACCUUUCCGAGUUAAGCCCGGAGAUUUCACAAGUGACUUGUUGCGCCGCCUACGCGCCCUUUACGCCCAGUAAAUCCGAACAACGCUUGCUCCCCCCGUAUUACCGCGGCGGCUGGCAC